AAGAUUUUAAGUUAAAUAAACUAAAAACCUUCAAAGUUUUAAAUAGAUAAAAUCUAAAUCUUG
RNAcentral lists this transfer RNA (63 nucleotides) under Codonobdella sp. IK-2021. Its description in RNAcentral is "tRNA-Trp". Lineage: Eukaryota; Metazoa; Annelida; Clitellata; Hirudinida; Piscicolidae. The record is from RNAcentral. RNAcentral also lists the same sequence under 1 other name.